AGAGCCCCAGCCCCCAGCCCGGAGGAAGAGACAGGCAAGCUUUCCUCCAGUGCUUCAGCUUGACCCUCCUGUACAGCAGAGACCUCCCAGUAAGAAAGCCCCAGGGGGCUGCAUCUUCUUCCAUGUGGUCCGUGAGGGAUGUGGCACAUGGCCCAGAGAGGGUAUUGUGUACGCUGCCAGGUGCCAGCCUACAGGUCAUCCUGGCCACUCUGCAACUUUGGAAAUCACGACCUGAGUCCUUCUCCCAUCCCGUUCCAUGACCCAGAUCCCGUUAAUAAGGGAGAAGGAGAUCACACCGUGCAGUGGGAACUUCUCUCAUCUGUUCUUGAUUCCAGAUGAUGAGCUUGGUGCUCCCUUUCCAUAUAGUGAUCUGGAUCCAGAUUUUGUGCCUGCGGGACAACCCAGAGGCCCUCCUGGUCAAUUGGCAGAACAGAAUCCUGCCCAUGAGCCUGAGGGGGAUGCCAGAGAUGUGACUGGACGAGAUGACCCAGCUUCCCGUCUGAGUUCUGGGACUGAAACUCCGGCGGAUCGCGUGGUAGUGCCCACAGGGAGGGCCUUGCCCGGUCCUUGGUUUCUUCCUGUGCCGGAGCGCAGCUGGAAUCCCAGGGGUCCGGAAGGAGGAAAGGAUGAAUCCCAAAGAGGAAGAUACUCCCAGGGCUCAUCCCAUCUCCUGGAGGAACUGGUGAAGGAAAUGGAGAAGGCAGCGCGUGGGGCUGACCAACAGACUGCGCAGAAGGAGGCACUGCAAGAAGGCAGCCCUCCCACACGGCCAGCCUUGGACAAUGAAACCCAGGCAGUGCAAGCAACUGGCAUGCCAGGGAUGAAUGCAGGGAACACGACGGCUGCUGUUCGCACAUUUCAGCGACAGCGCUACAUCUCAGCGAUUGCGGCGGCCUCUGCUGUGCUGCUGUCUGCGCUGGUGCUGGCCCGUGUUGCCGUGUCAUGGAUGUGGAAAAAAUAUGUAGAGGGCAAGAGAGAAAAGAAAGCAGCAAAACGAGCUCAUCCUGACACCGAUGGGAAAAGAGUUCCAACUGGAGGUGAAGGCACAGUGGAGCUAGGAGAUGGCAAAAGAGGACUGGUCCCUUCCGAUUCGCUUGAAGAAGUUUCAAAUGACGAAAUACCGGUGUGGGAAAGGAUACCGUAUUGA
Molecule: long non-coding RNA, 1147 nt
Filed under: Numida meleagris (helmeted guineafowl)
Lineage: Eukaryota; Metazoa; Chordata; Aves; Galliformes; Numididae
Description: lncRNA (ENSNMEG00000001970.1)
Source: RNAcentral